UACAGAGGUCCCAAGCGUUGUUCGGAUUCACUGGGCGUAAAGGGUGCGUAGGCGGUCGGAUAAGUCUGAUGUGAAAUCUUCGAGCUCAACUCGGAAACUGCAUCGGAAACUAUUCGGCUGGAGGAUUGGAGGGGAGACUGGAAUUCUCGGUGUAGCAGUGAAAUGCGUAGAUAUCGAGAGGAACACCGAUUGCGAAGGCAGCUCGCUGGAACGUUACUGACGCUGAGACGCGAAAGCGUGGGGAGCAAACAGG
This 253-nucleotide ribosomal RNA is filed under the name uncultured bacterium. RNAcentral describes it as "partial 16S ribosomal RNA". It matches the Rfam family "Bacterial small subunit ribosomal RNA", at positions 524 to 776 of the family's 1533-position model. The record is from RNAcentral.